Molecule: ribosomal RNA, 254 nt
Filed under: uncultured bacterium
Lineage: Bacteria
Description: partial 16S ribosomal RNA
Rfam family: Bacterial small subunit ribosomal RNA
Source: RNAcentral
UACGAAGGGGGCUAGCGUUGCUCGGAAUCACUGGGCGUAAAGGGUGCGUAGGCGGGUCUUUAAGUCAGGGGUGAAAUCCUGGAGCUCAACUCCAGAACUGCCUUUGAUACUGAAGAUCUUGAGUUCGGGAGAGGUGAGUGGAAUUCCCAGUGUAGAGGUGAAAUUCGUAGAUAUUGGGAAGAACACCGGUGGCGAAGGCGGCUCUCUGGACCGACACUGACGCUGAGGCGCGAAAGCGUGGGGAGCAAACAGGG